Non-coding RNA from Acanthosepion pharaonis, 100 nucleotides. The record is from the annotation of a GenBank genome assembly. NCBI's taxonomy places the organism in Eukaryota, Metazoa, Mollusca, Cephalopoda, Sepiida, Sepiidae.
CGUUGAAACACCGGUUCACGUACGAUCACCGAAGUUAAGCAACAUCGAACUUGGUCAGUACUUAAAUGGGUGACCGUUUGGGAAUACUAGUUGCUGUAAG